AAACUACUCCCUCCGUCCCAUAUUAAGUGACUUUUUAUUCCAUGUAUCUGGAUGCAUUUUAGUAUAUAAAUACGUCCAUAUUUAGACAAAUUGGAGUCACUUAAUAUGGGACGGAGGGAGUAUUUC
Non-coding RNA from Brachypodium distachyon (stiff brome), 126 nucleotides. The record is from Rfam. NCBI's taxonomy places the organism in Eukaryota, Viridiplantae, Streptophyta, Magnoliopsida, Poales, Poaceae.